This 442-nucleotide ribosomal RNA is filed under the name uncultured bacterium. RNAcentral describes it as "partial 16S ribosomal RNA". It matches the Rfam family "Bacterial small subunit ribosomal RNA", at positions 338 to 795 of the family's 1533-position model. The record is from RNAcentral.
CCUACGGGUGGCAGCAGUGGGGAAUAUUGGGCAAUGGGCGCAAGCCUGACCCAGCAACGCCGCGUGAAGGAAGAAGGCUUUCGGGUUGUAAACUUCUUUUAAGAGGGAAGAGCAGAAGACGGUACCCCUUGAAUAAGCCACGGCUAACUACGGGCCAGCAGCCGCGGUAAUACGGAGGUGGCAAGCGUUGUCCGGAUUUAAUGGGUGUAAAGGGCGUGCAGCCGGGAAGACAAGUUAGAUGGGAAACCCCGAGGCUCAACCGCGGAACUGCUUUUAAAACUGUUUUAAUUGAGGGCAGGAGGGGUAAACGGAAUUCCUAGUGUAGCGGUGGAAUGCGUAGAUAUAAGGAGGAAGACCAGGGGCGAAGGCGGGUGGCUGGACUGCAACUGACAGGGAGGCACGAAAGAGUGGGGAGCAAACAGGAUUAGAUACCCGUGUAGUC